CCUCCCCCCCCCCCCCUAUUUUUAUAUGAGUGUGUACGUCAUUCAUCUUCAUUACAAACUGAUCUUUUAUUAUUUUGGCCGUUUUUUUUUGUACUCUAGAAUAGGCUCCUCUUUUAGUUAGUGGAAAGGCAGUAGACACUCUGCCCUUGACUUCUAGGGGGUCUGGGGAGCACUGUGAGUUUCCCCAACAGGGUCCGGGGCUCUGUUCCGGAUCCAAUCAUAUUAAUGGAAUUUAGUGACUGUCAUUUCUUUUGUGUUUGUUUUAAUGAAGAGGUGGGUUUUUAACCUCGAAAUCCCCUGGAGAGUGAUGCUAAGAUCAACCCCCCACCCCCUUUGGCUGCACUGGCUAGAUAAGUAAGUAAAGUUUCCUUUUUAGCCCAUGAGGUCUGGGACAAAUGAUGAUUUGAAACUCACCCCCCCCCCCCCCA
This is a non-coding RNA of Biomphalaria pfeifferi, 428 nucleotides long. NCBI's taxonomy places the organism in Eukaryota, Metazoa, Mollusca, Gastropoda, Planorbidae. The record is from the annotation of a GenBank genome assembly.